This 77-nucleotide transfer RNA is filed under the name Agathobaculum phage AB434P2. RNAcentral's name for it is "tRNA-Ile". It matches the Rfam family "tRNA". Rfam says of the family: Transfer RNA (tRNA) molecules are approximately 80 nucleotides in length. Their secondary structure includes four short double-helical elements and three loops (D, anti-codon, and T loops). Lineage: Duplodnaviria; Heunggongvirae; Uroviricota; Caudoviricetes. The record is from RNAcentral. RNAcentral also lists the same sequence under 1 other name.
GGUGCUUUAGCUUAAUAGGUGAAAGCAUUCGACUUAUAAUCGAAAGAGUGAUGGUUCAAUCCCAUCAAGCACCACCA